UAUAUAAAUCUGUGCUUUGCUCAACACUGAAUCAACUAUCGCUAAUUCCAAAAGACAAAAUGCAUCACAAAUAUUUCAUUCUCCUUGCCUACUUUUUAUACUUUUUGUCAUAUACCAAUGCUAACAAUUUGAUUGAUGAGAUUUUAACUGAUCUUCAUAGUCUCGGGCAAAGAGACAUGGCGUCCUUGGUAAAUCUUUUUUGAUAUGAUUAUGUAAUGAUAUUUAUCAUCAGUAAAUUGGGGCUGCUUUAAUUGAGUGUAUUUGAUAAACAUUUUAUUAACAUACUGUUAUUACGCUUUUUUUUCUCUAGGGUUUGAAAAACAAGGGUUUGAAUGUGCCAGCAAACCUCAACAUAGACCAGUGUGCUUGCAAAGACGACGUCUUGGAAAACCUAGUUGGCAUUUUCAAAAUGGUGGAUACAGCUGUGGACCCUACUUUACCAGCACUGACUUCAAAACUCCAUCACAGCAUCCAAGCCCUACAGCUCCAGUCAGAGGGAACGAGGACAUCGUCAAUGAGAUGCACAAAACCAUCCAAAACUGGCAAUAUUUUUGCAAAAUACGAAACAUUCUUCAAAAUAUUGAAUGAGAAAAUAUGCAGUUAGGCAACAAAUGUUAACAAGACCGAAACAAAAAACAAAACAAAACAGAAACUGUGUAUGCAUAGAUAAUCGUUUUGGUUGUUUUUUUUUUAAUAGGAAAUCAUAGCUUUCCCCCCCCAAAAAAAAUAAAUAAAUGGGAUUUAUUUUUAUUUGUGAAUUAAUUUAUUUUUUUACAUUUUUAGUUUUAUUAUUUAUUGUUAUUUAUAAUAAACUGUAAGCAGUAGCUACUAAUCAUGUGUCGUAUUUUUUUUUGUAUACACCUUUCUGUUUUUAUGUGGCUACAGUAUAUACUGAAACAAUUUAAAUAAACUUGAAGGUGUUUUUAAUAUCUGUUGCAUGUGAUUUAUGUUUCAUUCUUAAACAAUUUUGUUUUACUAUGUAUUACAUUGUUUUAUGCGUACAUUGAACACCUGAACAGGAUAAUAAACAAGAACUUGACACAGUUUAUGUUUGAGUGAUACAGGCAGAUCUUAAUGCCGUUGCCCUGAAAUUUAAAGCCCUUUCCCUCACCAUUGAAGCUUGAUUGUCUAUCCGGUCAAAUAAACAUAUAAAUGUGACUUGAGUAUGCACAACUGUUACUGUUUCAAAUGGGCAUGCAUAGUUCUAAAUCUGUACAUACAACACUCACCAUAUACUAAUGAAUAAUGUGCUGUCUUCUAUCUCCUUACCUGAUUGCUUUAAUGGUCAAAGACAUGUACAGUCAUUAUUUGAAUUAAGUUUUGGUGCCAGUUUUCCAAUAUUCCCAUUGUCGUGUUCCUCUUUGUUCCCUUUCCAUCGUGACAUAAGGUAGACACAUUUCGGAGAGCUCUGUCCUGCUGGGGCCCAGACAGAUGGGAAGUGUAGGCAGAUAAAUUAUCUGGUAUCUGAUGACAGAAUUUAUAUUUAGCAGUACCUUAUGUUGUCUUUACAUCACUUAUAUCUAGGGCUUUAACUUUGCGGUUUUUAUUUUCCAAAUCUCUCUCUAUCUCCCUUUAAAUGUUAAUUAGUAGUUGUU
Long non-coding RNA from Acipenser ruthenus (sterlet), 1595 nucleotides. RefSeq lists it as uncharacterized. The record is from RefSeq and is a predicted model, not a curated record. NCBI's taxonomy places the organism in Eukaryota, Metazoa, Chordata, Actinopteri, Acipenseriformes, Acipenseridae. The transcript is spliced from 3 exons.